RNAcentral lists this ribosomal RNA (379 nucleotides) under uncultured eukaryote. RNAcentral describes it as "partial 18S ribosomal RNA". It matches the Rfam family "Eukaryotic small subunit ribosomal RNA", at positions 592 to 975 of the family's 1831-position model. The record is from RNAcentral.
CAAUAGCGUAUAUUAAAGUUGUUGCGGUUAAAAAGCUCGUAGUUGGAUUUCUGCCGAGGACGACCGGUCCGCCCUCUGGGUGAGUAUCUGGCUCGGCCUGGGCAUCUUCUUGGAGAACGUAGCUGCACUUGACUGUGUGGUGCGGUAUCCAGGACUUUUACUUUGAGGAAAUUAGAGUGUUUCAAGCAGGCUUACGCCUUGAAUACAUUAGCAUGGAAUAAUAAGAUAGGACCUCGGUUCUAUUUUGUUGGUUUCUAGAGCUGAGGUAAUGAUUAAUAGGGAUAGUUGGGGGCAUUCGUAUUUAACUGGCAGAGGUGAAAUUCUUGGAUUUGUUAAAGACGGACUACUGCGAAAGCAUUUGCCAAGGAUGUUUUCAUUG